Molecule: small nuclear RNA, 106 nt
Organism: Hippopotamus amphibius kiboko
Lineage: Eukaryota; Metazoa; Chordata; Mammalia; Artiodactyla; Hippopotamidae
Source: RefSeq, a predicted model, not a curated record
GUGCUAGAUUCCGCAGCACAUUUACUGAAUUGUAAUGCUACAGAGAAGACAAAAAUGGCCCUUGUGCAAGGAACACAUGCAAAUUUGUGAAGCAUUCCAUAUUUUU